CUGAGUGUAAAACUCUCCAAACCCAUUGUGAACAUACCACUGUUGCUUCGGCGGAUCCCCUGGCGCUCCUCUCCAGGCGUGCCCUGACCAGCCCGCCGGGGACUACUAAACUCUUGUUUAAUUUGCAGUAUCUUCUGAAUGUGAUUACUAAGAAAUAAGUCA
RNAcentral lists this unclassified non-coding RNA (162 nucleotides) under soil metagenome. Its description in RNAcentral is "partial internal transcribed spacer 1". The record is from RNAcentral.